Molecule: ribosomal RNA, 468 nt
Filed under: uncultured bacterium
Lineage: Bacteria
Description: partial 16S ribosomal RNA
Rfam family: Bacterial small subunit ribosomal RNA
Source: RNAcentral
GACGAACGCUGGCGGCGUGCUUAACACAUGCAAGUCGAACGGAAAGGCCCUUCUUUUGUGGGGUGCUCGAGUGGCGAACGGGUGAGUAACACGUGAGUAACCUGCCCUUGCCUUUGGGAUAACUUCAGGAAACUGGGGCUAAUACCGGAUAGGAGCUCCUGCUGCAUGGUGGGGGUUGGAAAGUUUCGGCGGUUGGGGAUGGACUCGCGGCUUAUCAGCUUGUUGGUGGGGUAGUGGCUUACCAAGGCUUUGACGGGUAGCCGGCCUGAGAGGGUGACCGGCCAGAUUGGGACUGCGAUACGGCCCAGACUCCUACGGGAGGGAGCAGUGGGGAAUAGUGCACUAUGGGCGGAAGCCGGAUGCAGCAACGCCGCGUGCGGGAUGACGGCCUUCGGGUUGUAAACCGCUUUCGCCUGUGACGAAGCGUGAGUGACGGUAAUGGGUAAAGAAGCACCGGCUAACUACGUG